GAUGAACGCUGGCGGCGUGCCUAAUACAUGCGAGUCGAGCGAACAGACGAGGAGCUUGCUCCUCUGACGUUAGCGGCGGACGGGUGAGUAACACGUGGAUAACCUACCUAUAAGACUGGGAUAACUUCGGGAAACCGGAGCUAAUACCGGAUAAUAUAUUGAACCGCAUGGUUCAAUAGUGAAAGACGGUUUUGCUGUCACUUAUAGAUGGAUCCGCGCCGCAUUAGCUAGUUGGUAAGGUAACGGCUUACCAAGGCAACGAUGCGUAGCCGACCUGAGAGAGUGAUAGGCCACACUGGAACUGAGACACGGUCCAGGCGCCUACGGGAGGCAGCAGUAGGGAAUCUUCCGCAAUGGGCGAAAGCCUGACGGAGCAACGCCGCGUGAGUGAUGAAGGUCUUCGGAUCGUAAAACUCUGUUAUUAGGGAAGAACAAAUGUGUAAGUAACUAUGCACGUCUUGACGGUACCUAAUCAGAAAGCCACGGCUAACUACGUG
Molecule: ribosomal RNA, 497 nt
Filed under: uncultured bacterium
Lineage: Bacteria
Description: partial 16S ribosomal RNA
Rfam family: Bacterial small subunit ribosomal RNA
Source: RNAcentral